This 301-nucleotide ribosomal RNA is filed under the name uncultured bacterium. RNAcentral describes it as "partial 16S ribosomal RNA". It matches the Rfam family "Bacterial small subunit ribosomal RNA", at positions 509 to 807 of the family's 1533-position model. The record is from RNAcentral.
CAGUCGCCACGGGAAUACGGAGGGGGCUAGCGUUGUUCGGAAUUACUGGGCGUAAAGCGCACGUAGGCGGCUUGGUAAGUUAGAGGUGAAAGCCUUGAGCCCAACUCCAGAAUUGCCUUUAAGACUGCCGAGCUAGCAGGUGAGAGAGGUAAGUGGAAUUCCGAGUGUAGAGGUGAAAUUCGUAGAUAUUCGGAAGAACACCAGUGGCGAAGGCGGCUUACUGGCUCAUACUGGACGCUGAGGUGCGAAAGCGUGGGGAGCAAACAGGAUUAGAUACCCCAGUAGUCCCUGUCUCUUAUAC